This 557-nucleotide ribosomal RNA is filed under the name uncultured bacterium. RNAcentral describes it as "bacterial SSU rRNA". It matches the Rfam family "Bacterial small subunit ribosomal RNA", at positions 102 to 694 of the family's 1533-position model. The record is from RNAcentral.
ACGGGUGAGUAACGCGUGGGAAUCUACCCAUCUCUACGGAACAACUCCGGGAAACUGGAGCUAAUACCGUAUACGUCCUUCGGGAGAAAGAUUUAUCGGAGAUGGAUGAGCCCGCGUUGGAUUAGCUAGUUGGUGGGGUAAUGGCCUACCAAGGCGACGAUCCAUAGCUGGUCUGAGAGGAUGAUCAGCCACAUUGGGACUGAGACACGGCCCAAACUCCUACGGGAGGCAGCAGUGGGGAAUAUUGGACAAUGGGCGAAAGCCUGAUCCAGCCAUGCCACGUGAGUGAUGAAGGCCCUAGGGUUGUAAAGCUCUUUCAACGGUGAAGAUAAUGACGGUAACCGUAGAAGAAGCCCCGGCUAACUUCGUGCCAGCAGCCGCGGUAAUACGAAGGGGGCUAGCGUUGUUCGGAAUUACUGGGCGUAAAGCGCACGUAGGCGGAUUGUUAAGUUAGGGGUGAAAUCCCAGGGCUCAACCCUGGAACUGCCUUUAAUACUGGCAAUCUCGAGUCCGAGAGAGGUGAGUGGAAUUCCGAGUGUAGAGGUGAAAUUCGUAGA